UAUUUUAUGGGCUGCUUAUUUAAA
RNAcentral lists this non-coding RNA (24 nucleotides) under Arabidopsis thaliana (thale cress). The record is from RNAcentral. Lineage: Eukaryota; Viridiplantae; Streptophyta; Magnoliopsida; Brassicales; Brassicaceae.